Molecule: long non-coding RNA, 1027 nt
Organism: Onychomys torridus (southern grasshopper mouse)
Lineage: Eukaryota; Metazoa; Chordata; Mammalia; Rodentia; Cricetidae
Exons: 3
Source: RefSeq, a predicted model, not a curated record
UAUAUCAAUUUAUUAAGGGGUGUGAUGGGGAAACAGUCUCACUAAUAAAAAGCAAGGUAGAUGUGCUGCAGAUCGGCAGCUGAUCCAGCUUCUGUUCUCAAGGCUGAUGGGGACCAACUGCAAUCUGCUUUCCGAUGCCCAAUCUCCUCACCCCAAGAGAAAGCAUGACUCCCUCUCUCUCCCCUUAACUGGUCACAUUUGCAGACCAGAAGCCACACCCAAUGCUUGUACCCAAAAGCUAUUGGUGGAAUGAAUUCCCACAAUACAUCUCUUCUUAUCUAAUAUCCUUGGUCUCCUGUCCCAGCCCCAGAGGAUAAGAGUCCAAGGUGGGCACUGAUGAAGACCAUCUCCAAUUUUCUUCAGAAGCCCCAUGGGGCCUUCCCAUUAGGGUACUUAGGCUGAUAGAGCUCCCUCAUACCUCAUGGCCUUACGAGGCUAGCAGGGAGAGACUGUGAAAGCUAGGAAGAAAGCUAGCUAGACAACAUCCUGCAUAGGGAUGGGAAAAAUUAAAAUUGUCAAUUCCUGAGGUGAACUCUGAAUCCUGUGUCUCUGUCUACCAUUACUCUACUUUCCAGGUCCCUGUGCUGCUCACUGCUAGAAAGAAGCUGUAUCCACAGAGACUGAUUGAUGAAUUAAAACUGCAGUACUGUGAAGAAACUGGAAUGUUACAGGUCCGGAGACUAAUUACUUUGUCGUGGGCUGCUUCUAGUUCUUUGGAACAACCAUUCCUUGAUAAGACAAAAAGGAACUGGAUGACCAAGGAAAAAGGGUCUCCAUAUACUACCAGGACACUUACACACAAACUUGAAACGAGCUUUUUCUGGAUCCUAACAGGACUGGUAAAGCCAUAUUAUGAACUGAUGCCAGAAUACAACAAAAGAGGGACACCUUCCUGAAUUUCAACCACAUGUAAACUUCAUAUCACUCCCUCUGCCCUGCCCUGCCCCCCCAUGACAGGGUUUCUCUGUGUAAUCCUCGUGUACUGGUGUAGCUGAAGAGCUUCUCUACAGGUGCCACCAAGCCCCCA